RNAcentral lists this ribosomal RNA (301 nucleotides) under uncultured microorganism. RNAcentral describes it as "bacterial SSU rRNA". It matches the Rfam family "Bacterial small subunit ribosomal RNA", at positions 9 to 289 of the family's 1533-position model. The record is from RNAcentral.
GAGUUUGAUCUUGGCUCAGGAUGAACGCUGGCGGCGUGCUUAACACAUGCAAGUCGAACGAGGAAUUUUAAAUGAGACUUCGGUGGAUUUUAAAAUUCUUAGUGGCGGACGGGUGAGUAACGCGUGGGCAACCUGCCCUGUACAGGGGGACGAACAGCUGGAAACGGGACUGCUAAUACCGCAUAAGACCACGGAGCCGCAUGGCUCAGUGGGAAAAACGUACCGGUGGUACAGGAUGGGCCCGGCGUUGGAUUAGGUUAGUUGGUGAGGUAACGGCCCACCAAGCCGCGAUCCAUAGCCG